This 2900-nucleotide ribosomal RNA is filed under the name Klebsiella pneumoniae. RNAcentral describes it as "23S ribosomal RNA". It matches the Rfam family "Bacterial large subunit ribosomal RNA". Lineage: Bacteria; Pseudomonadati; Pseudomonadota; Gammaproteobacteria; Enterobacterales; Enterobacteriaceae. The record is from RNAcentral.
UUAAGCGACUAAGCGUACACGGUGGAUGCCCUGGCAGUCAGAGGCGAUGAAGGACGUGCUAAUCUGCGAAAAGCGUCGGUAAGGUGAUAUGAACCGUUAUAACCGGCGAUGUCCGAAUGGGGAAACCCAGUGUGAUUCGUCACACUAUCGUUAACUGAAUACAUAGGUUAACGAGGCGAACCGGGGGAACUGAAACAUCUAAGUACCCCGAGGAAAAGAAAUCAACCGAGAUUCCCCCAGUAGCGGCGAGCGAACGGGGAGCAGCCCAGAGUCUGAAUCAGCUUGUGUGUUAGUGGAACGGUCUGGAAAGUCCGACGGUACAGGGUGAUAGUCCCGUACACCAAAAUGCACAGGUUGUGAACUCGAAGAGUAGGGCGGGACACGUGGUAUCCUGUCUGAAUAUGGGGGGACCAUCCUCCAAGGCUAAAUACUCCUGACUGACCGAUAGUGAACCAGUACCGUGAGGGAAAGGCGAAAAGAACCCCGGCGAGGGGAGUGAAAAAGAACCUGAAACCGUGUACGUACAAGCAGUGGGAGCACCUUCGGGUGUGACUGCGUACCUUUUGUAUAAUGGGUCAGCGACUUAUAUUCUGUAGCAAGGUUAACCGUAUAGGGGAGCCGCAGGGAAACCGAGUCUUAACUGGGCGUUAAGUUGCAGGGUAUAGACCCGAAACCCGGUGAUCUAGCCAUGGGCAGGUUGAAGGUUGGGUAACACUAACUGGAGGACCGAACCGACUAAUGUUGAAAAAUUAGCGGAUGACUUGUGGCUGGGGGUGAAAGGCCAAUCAAACCGGGAGAUAGCUGGUUCUCCCCGAAAGCUAUUUAGGUAGCGCCUCGUGAAUUCAUCUUCGGGGGUAGAGCACUGUUUCGGCUAGGGGGUCAUCCCGACUUACCAACCCGAUGCAAACUACGAAUACCGAAGAAUGUUAUCACGGGAGACACACGGCGGGUGCUAACGUCCGUCGUGAAGAGGGAAACAACCCAGACCGCCAGCUAAGGUCCCAAAGUCAUGGUUAAGUGGGAAACGAUGUGGGAAGGCACAGACAGCCAGGAUGUUGGCUUAGAAGCAGCCAUCAUUUAAAGAAAGCGUAAUAGCUCACUGGUCGAGUCGGCCUGCGCGGAAGAUGUAACGGGGCUAAACCAUGCACCGAAGCUGCGGCAGCGACACUAUGUGUUGUUGGGUAGGGGAGCGUUCUGUAAGCCUGCGAAGGUGACCUGUGAGGGUUGCUGGAGGUAUCAGAAGUGCGAAUGCUGACAUAAGUAACGAUAAAGCGGGUGAAAAGCCCGCUCGCCGGAAGACCAAGGGUUCCUGUCCAACGUUAAUCGGGGCAGGGUGAGUCGACCCCUAAGGCGAGGCCGAAAGGCGUAGUCGAUGGGAAACAGGUUAAUAUUCCUGUACUUGGUGUUACUGCGAAGGGGGGACGGAGAAGGCUAUGUUAGCCGGGCGACGGUUGUCCCGGUUUAAGCAUGUAGGCUGGUUGUCCAGGCAAAUCCGGAUAAUCAAGGCUGAGGUGUGAUGACGAGGCACUACGGUGCUGAAGUAACAAAUGCCCUGCUUCCAGGAAAAGCCUCUAAGCAUCAGGUAACAUCAAAUCGUACCCCAAACCGACACAGGUGGUCAGGUAGAGAAUACCAAGGCGCUUGAGAGAACUCGGGUGAAGGAACUAGGCAAAAUGGUGCCGUAACUUCGGGAGAAGGCACGCUGGUGUGUAGGUGAAGUCCCUGCGGAUGGAGCUGAGACCAGUCGAAGAUACCAGCUGGCUGCAACUGUUUAUUAAAAACACAGCACUGUGCAAACACGAAAGUGGACGUAUACGGUGUGACGCCUGCCCGGUGCCGGAAGGUUAAUUGAUGGGGUUAUCCGUAAGGAGAAGCUCUUGAUCGAAGCCCCGGUAAACGGCGGCCGUAACUAUAACGGUCCUAAGGUAGCGAAAUUCCUUGUCGGGUAAGUUCCGACCUGCACGAAUGGCGUAAUGAUGGCCAGGCUGUCUCCACCCGAGACUCAGUGAAAUUGAACUCGCUGUGAAGAUGCAGUGUACCCGCGGCAAGACGGAAAGACCCCGUGAACCUUUACUAUAGCUUGACACUGAACAUUGAGCCUUGAUGUGUAGGAUAGGUGGGAGGCUUUGAAGCGUGGACGCCAGUCUGCGUGGAGCCAACCUUGAAAUACCACCCUUUAAUGUUUGAUGUUCUAACGUUGGCCCCUGACCGGGGUUGCGGACAGUGUCUGGUGGGUAGUUUGACUGGGGCGGUCUCCUCCUAAAGCGUAACGGAGGAGCACGAAGGUUAGCUAAUCCUGGUCGGACAUCAGGAGGUUAGUGCAAUGGCAUAAGCUAGCUUGACUGCGAGCGUGACGGCGCGAGCAGGUGCGAAAGCAGGUCAUAGUGAUCCGGUGGUUCUGAAUGGAAGGGCCAUCGCUCAACGGAUAAAAGGUACUCCGGGGAUAACAGGCUGAUACCGCCCAAGAGUUCAUAUCGACGGCGGUGUUUGGCACCUCGAUGUCGGCUCAUCACAUCCUGGGGCUGAAGUAGGUCCCAAGGGUAUGGCUGUUCGCCAUUUAAAGUGGUACGCGAGCUGGGUUUAGAACGUCGUGAGACAGUUCGGUCCCUAUCUGCCGUGGGCGCUGGAGAAUUGAGGGGGGCUGCUCCUAGUACGAGAGGACCGGAGUGGACGCAUCACUGGUGUUCGGGUUGUCAUGCCAAUGGCACUGCCCGGUAGCUAAAUGCGGAAGAGAUAAGUGCUGAAAGCAUCUAAGCACGAAACUUGCCCCGAGAUGAGUUCUCCCUGAGACUUUAAGUCUCCUGAAGGAACGUUGAAGACGACGACGUUGAUAGGCCGGGUGUGUAAGCGCAGCGAUGCGUUGAGCUAACCGGUACUAAUGAACCGUGAGGCUUAACCUU